AAGCAUGGUCGUGUGAACAAAAGCGAGGCAAUUGAAAACGAAGAAACUCAGCAAGUUUGGGACAAAUGUAUAAGUAAUAUGUUUUCAUAUUAUAUUUGUGUGUAUGAAAUGAGAAUAAAUGUGAUAGGUUUGGUUCUUGUUUAGGUUCAAUUGUCACAAACUAAUUCAGAAGAGAUGAGUAAUGAUCACUCCGACAUUCUAAGUCAAGCUUUAUGUCUCCCAGAGUAUCCAAGUCGUGUUAGGGGAAUGAGAUUUGGAGUCGGUCAUAGAGAUUAUUUCCCAUCCAAAAAGCGUCAUAUGCACCAUGAGCAUGAUAAAUUAACUGCUCAAGUAAAAGACAUGUUGGAAAGAAUGACACAAAUGGAAAAUGAUAUGAUUUCGCAUCGAAAAUUGGCACACCAAAUACUACUGAAGAAGCUAACAUUAAUAGUGGCCAAGGGAGUUGCACAUUGUCAUCAAAUAGUUUUCCCGAGGUAACGAACUUAUCUAUAUUACUUUCAUUAUCACUUUAAUUUGCUUACUUUAAACUUUCAUAGGUCUUCAUAUCUAGUCACAUUGAAGAUUGUUUUAUAAUUAUGUUUUAUAAUGUAAGGGGUCUCGAGUUGUAAAUUUUUUACAUUAUCACCAUCACUUUGCUUGGUUGCCCAUGGAAAAUUGCAUAAUUUUAAAAGUGAUACACUACAUGGUAGACCUCUACCUAAGGGACAUGUCAAAGUUAGUAUAAAUAUUGCUUUGGAGCCAAAUGUAUCGUUGUCUAUACCAAUUGAUGAUGAUGACAUGAUGGCAAUAGGACAAGCAAUAGGUACAUUUGUGGCAUGGCCAAUGAAUUUCAUACAGAUUAGUGAUGAGGUAUGUUUAUACAAUUGUAUUCAUUCAUAUUUAUGAACAUAUUUUAUCUAUUACCUAACUUGUUUAAUUGAUGAUGUUUUAGGAUUCUACUCAACCUAAAAAGAAAAAGAUGAAUGAUACAAAUGAAUGUGUCUCACACCUAAAAAAAUGUCAAGGGAAAAUGACCAUUCAACAUACUCCUCGUACACUGUUUCAUCUCCAAUCUUUCUGAAUGGUGCAAUUGUCUCUCUUCAUACAUGAAACUAAAGCCAUCAGAGUCACUUCCUCCAAUACAAAUGGACAAAAACAUAUUUGGACUAGAUAAUCAUAAAGAAAUCGUUAAUGCAGAAAUUAUUGAAGAAGUUACUAACUAUGCAUGGCUAGGUGCAACUACAAUUUCUAUAUAUAUCGGGUACCUAUAUCAAAAUUUUGUCAAGCCAAAUGAUAAGGCAUUCUUUUUUUUAUCACCCCAAAUCACAACACAUGAGCUACCAAUGAAAGACAGAAUGCAAAAAAUAGUUACUCUUUUUCUUGAUAAUGUGGUGAUUGAUAAGUUUGUUCUUGCACCUAUUAAUAUCGGUCAACAUUGGGUCUUCCUGGGAACCAAUCUUAAACUAGAGAUAAUUCAUUAUCUUGACCCAGUGGCAGUGUAAACAUUAAUAUGAGGCAACAUUUG
This is a non-coding RNA of Vigna umbellata (rice bean), 1504 nucleotides long. The record is from RefSeq and is a predicted model, not a curated record. Lineage: Eukaryota; Viridiplantae; Streptophyta; Magnoliopsida; Fabales; Fabaceae.